RNAcentral lists this ribosomal RNA (237 nucleotides) under Ochromonas sp. CCMP1393. RNAcentral describes it as "partial Bacterial small subunit ribosomal RNA". It matches the Rfam family "Bacterial small subunit ribosomal RNA", at positions 1169 to 1406 of the family's 1533-position model. Lineage: Eukaryota; Chrysophyceae; Chromulinales; Chromulinaceae. The record is from RNAcentral.
GAAGGCGGGGAUGACGUCAAGUCCUCAUGGCCCUUACGGGCUGGGCUACACACGUGCUACAAUGGUGGUGACAGUGGGCAGCGAGACGGCAACGUCGAGCUAAUCUCCAAAAACCAUCUCAGUUCGGAUUGGGGUCUGCAACUCGACCCCAUGAAGUUGGAAUCGCUAGUAAUCGCGGAUCAGCAUGCCGCGGUGAAUACGUUCCCGGGCCUUGUACACACCGCCCGUCACACCAUG